RNAcentral lists this unclassified non-coding RNA (298 nucleotides) under uncultured fungus. Its description in RNAcentral is "sequence contains ITS1, 5.8S rRNA gene". The stretch from base 250 to 298 matches the Rfam family "5.8S ribosomal RNA", at positions 1 to 49 of the family's 154-position model. Lineage: Eukaryota; Fungi. The record is from RNAcentral.
UUUCCGUAGGUGAACCUGCGGAAGGAUCAUUAAAAGUGCCCUGGCCUCGUGCCGGUGGACUACACCUCUACCCUCCUCGGGGGGCAAAGUGUUAACCAGUUGUGAAACUUAUACCUUUGCUUCGGCAGCACUCUCAGCCGUAAAAACACUGGAGGGGUAAGGCUGCCAGAAGCCCACUUUAAAACUAGUUGAUGAAAUGUCAUGCUGUCUGAUAACCAUUAUUUUGAGAAAUCAAAAGAAUUCUAUUAAAACUUUCAGCAACGGAUCUCUUGGUUCUCGCAUCGAUGAAGAACGCAGC